AAACACGCUGGCGGCGUGCUAACACAUGCAAGUCGCACGAGAAAGCGGGGGCAACUCCGCAAGUACAGUGGCGAACGGGUGAGUAACACGUGACUAACCUGCCCUCCAGUGGGGAAUAACCUCGGGAAACCGGGGCUAAUACCGCAUAACAUCCGCGGGUGCAAGUCCUGCGGAUCAAAGGAGCAAUUCGCUGGAGGAGGGGGUCGCGGCUGAUUAGCUAGUUGGUGAGGUAACGGCCCACCAAGGCGAUGAUCAGUAGCCGGCCUGAGAGGGCGCACGGCCACACUGGAACUGAAACACGGUCCAGACUCCUACGGGAGGCAGCAGUGGGGAAUUUUGCGCAAUGGGGGAAACCCUGACGCAGCAACGCCGCGUGGAGGAUGAAGUCCCUUGGGACGUAAACUCCUUUCGACCGGGACGAAUGAUGACGGUACCGGUGGAAGAAGCCCCGGCUAACUCCGUGCCA
Molecule: ribosomal RNA, 466 nt
Filed under: uncultured bacterium
Lineage: Bacteria
Description: bacterial SSU rRNA
Rfam family: Bacterial small subunit ribosomal RNA
Source: RNAcentral